CAGCUGCGAUAAGUAGUGUGAAUAGCAGAAGUCAGCGAAUCAUCGAAUCUUUGAACGCAAAUGGCGCUCCCUGGUUCUCCAGGGAGCAUGUCUGUCUGAGCGUCAUGUCAAGUACCUACACACACUCGUGUUGUUCUACGGCGCUAGUGUGUGGCGUUGAGACAUCACGGCCAUUCACAGUUAGUGAGUGACUGCGUGUCUUUAAGUGAAGUAUCACGGCUCCAAACUCGUGCAGUCGAGCGAGAGCAGCAAAACGUAAUUGCCCUAAAAAGCACUACCAUACUGCCUGCCUCUCCUCUCAACGACGAACCUUUGAGGAAGUGAUAAUACCUUUCGACUUGUGACAACCUUUACGAGUUGCAUGUUGAAAACAACAACUUGAUUUCUUUCUUGACGAUUUCAAUUUGUGAUUUUGACCUCAGAUCAGGCAAUACUACCCGCUGAAUUUAA
Molecule: ribosomal RNA, 450 nt
Filed under: Aurelia sp. KS-2011
Lineage: Eukaryota; Metazoa; Cnidaria; Scyphozoa; Semaeostomeae; Ulmaridae
Description: eukaryotic LSU rRNA
Rfam family: 5.8S ribosomal RNA (bases 1-105)
Source: RNAcentral